This 253-nucleotide ribosomal RNA is filed under the name uncultured bacterium. Its description in RNAcentral is "partial 16S ribosomal RNA". It matches the Rfam family "Bacterial small subunit ribosomal RNA", at positions 524 to 776 of the family's 1533-position model. The record is from RNAcentral.
UACGUAGGGACCAAGCGUUGUUCGGAUUUACUGGGCGUAAAGGGCGCGUAGGCGGCGUGUUAAGUCAGCUGUGAAAUCUCCAAGCUUAACUUGGAACGGUCAGCUGAUACUGAUGUGCUAGAGUGCAGAAGGGGCAACCGGAAUUCUUGGUGUAGCGGUGAAAUGCGUAGAUAUCAAGAGGAACACCUGAGGUGAAGACGGGUUGCUGGGCUGACACUGACGCUGAGGCGCGAAAGCUAGGGUAGCAAACGGG